This 253-nucleotide ribosomal RNA is filed under the name uncultured bacterium. RNAcentral's name for it is "partial 16S ribosomal RNA". It matches the Rfam family "Bacterial small subunit ribosomal RNA", at positions 524 to 776 of the family's 1533-position model. The record is from RNAcentral.
UACGGAGGGGACUAGCGUUGUUCGGAAUUACUGGGCGUAAAGCGCACGUAGGCGGAUUGUUAAGUCAGGGGUGAAAUCCUGGAGCUCAACUCCAGAACUGCCUUUGAUACUGACGAUCUCGAGUCCGGGAGAGGUGAGUGGAACUGCGAGUGUAGAGGUGAAAUUCGUAGAUAUUCGCAAGAACACCAGUGGCGAAGGCGGCUCACUGGCCCGGUACUGACGCUGAGGUGCGAAAGCGUGGGGAGCAAACAGG